Long non-coding RNA from Zophobas morio, 335 nucleotides. RefSeq lists it as uncharacterized. The record is from RefSeq and is a predicted model, not a curated record. The transcript is spliced from 2 exons. Lineage: Eukaryota; Metazoa; Arthropoda; Insecta; Coleoptera; Tenebrionidae.
CAACAACAUUCUACCGCUAUCACGGAUCUAUAACAAAACCAUAUUGCGAAGAAAUUGUAACUUUCCUAGUAUUUCCACAGCCCUCUUAUAUAUCCGAGACACAGUAUAAGAAACUGAUAAACAUCAAAGAUUCCAAAAAUCAAACUGUGAAAUUUAAUCAUCGAAACGUGCAACCCCUAAACGGUAGAACUGUUUUCAAGCAAAAAUGCUAAAAGUUCCGUCUACAUUGGAAAUUUUAAUUUGCAAUUGCUGCACUUGCGUUAGGGUAAAUGGUAGCACUAUGGUAAAGGUCUUGUUUUCUCCACGUUAAAAUAAAGAGUUUGCAUUUACAAAAA